This 464-nucleotide ribosomal RNA is filed under the name uncultured Desulfuromonadaceae bacterium. Its description in RNAcentral is "partial 16S ribosomal RNA". It matches the Rfam family "Bacterial small subunit ribosomal RNA", at positions 338 to 794 of the family's 1533-position model. The record is from RNAcentral. Lineage: Bacteria; Pseudomonadati; Thermodesulfobacteriota; Desulfuromonadia; Desulfuromonadales; Desulfuromonadaceae.
CCUACGGGAGGCAGCAGUGGGGAAUUUUGCGCAAUGGGGGCAUCCCUGACGCAGCAACGCCGCGUGAGUGAUGAAGGCCUUCGGGUCGUAAAGCUCUGUCAGAGGGGAAGAAAUGCAGGUGGUGAACAACCAUUCUGUUUGACGGUACCCUCAAAGGAAGCACCGGCUAACUCCGUGCCAGCAGCCGCGGUAAUACGGAGGGUGCGAGCGUUGUUCGGAAUUAUUGGGCGUAAAGCGCGUGUAGGCGGUUUGUUAAGUCUGAGGUAAAAGCCCCGGGCUCAACAGGGGAAGGGCAUUGGAUACUGGCAGACUUGAGUACGGGAGAGGAGAGUGAAAUUCCCAGUGUAGGAGUGAAAUCCGUAGAUAUGGGGAGGAACACCGGUGGCGAAGGCGGCUCUCGGGACAGAUACUGACGCUGAGACGCGAAAGCGUGGGAGGCAAACAGGAUUAGAUACCUUGGUAGU